Molecule: ribosomal RNA, 379 nt
Filed under: Nematoda environmental sample
Lineage: Eukaryota; Metazoa; Nematoda
Description: bacterial SSU rRNA
Rfam family: Eukaryotic small subunit ribosomal RNA
Source: RNAcentral
CGUGGAGCGAUUUGUCUGGUUUAUUCCGAUAACGAGCGAGACUCUAGCCUACUAACUAGUCCACACAUUGCUACUGCUGCUGUGUUGUGCUUUGACUUCUUAGAGGGAUUUUCGGCGUUCAGCCGCACGAGAUUGAGCCCCGGACAUCUAAGGGCAUCACGAGAUUGAGCAGGUCUGUGAUGCCCUUAGAUGUCCGGGGCUGCACGCGCGCUACACUGGCGAAAUCAGCGUGCUUGUCCUCCUUUCUCGAAAGAGAUUGGUAAACCAUUGAAAAUUUGCCGUGAUUGGGAUCGGAAAUUGCAAUUAUUUUCCGUGAACGAGGAAUUCCAAGUAAGUGCGAGUCAUCAACUCGCGUUGAUUACGUCCCUGCCCUUUGUAC